This 230-nucleotide ribosomal RNA is filed under the name uncultured bacterium. RNAcentral's name for it is "partial 16S ribosomal RNA". It matches the Rfam family "Bacterial small subunit ribosomal RNA", at positions 524 to 751 of the family's 1533-position model. The record is from RNAcentral.
UACGUAGGGGCCGAGCGUUGUCCGGAGUUAUUGGGCGUAAAGCGCGCCGCCAGGCGGCUUCGCGCGUCCGACGUGAAAGCCCCCGGCUUAACCGGGGAGGGUCGUUGGGUACGGCGGAGCUUGAGGGCGGGAGAGGGUGGUGGAAUUCCCGGUGUAGUGGUGAAAUGCGUAGAGAUCGGGAGGAACACCUGUGGCGAAGGCGGCCACCUGGGCCGACCCUGACGCUGAGG